GGGGUUGUGGCUUAGAAGUAGAGCACUCGCCUACCAUGUGUGAAGUCCUGGGUUCAAUCCUCAGCACCA
Non-coding RNA from Ictidomys tridecemlineatus (thirteen-lined ground squirrel), 69 nucleotides. Lineage: Eukaryota; Metazoa; Chordata; Mammalia; Rodentia; Sciuridae. The record is from Rfam.